GACGAACGCUGGCGGCGUGCUUAACACAUGCCAGUCGAACGGAAAGGCCCUGCUUUUGUGGGGUGCUCGAGUGGCGAACGGGUGAGUAACACGUGAGUAACCUGCCCUUGACUUUGGGAUAACUUCAGGAAACUGGGGCUAAUACCGGAUAGGAGCUCCUGCUGCAUGGUGGGGGUUGGAAAGUUUCGGCGGUUGGGGAUGGACUCGCGGCUUAUCAGCUUGUUGGUGGGGUAGUGGCUUACCAAGGCUUUGACGGGUAGCCGGCCUGAGAGGGUGACCGGCCACAUUGGGACUGAGAUACGGCCCAGACUCCUACGGGAGGCAGCAGUGGGGAAUAUUGCACAAUGGGCGGAAGCCUGAGGCAGCAACGCCGCGUGCGGGAUGACGGCCUUCGGGGUGUAAACCGCUUUCGCCUGUGACGAAGCGUGAGUGACGGUAAUGGGUAAAGAAGCACCGGCUAACUACGUG
This 468-nucleotide ribosomal RNA is filed under the name uncultured bacterium. RNAcentral describes it as "partial 16S ribosomal RNA". It matches the Rfam family "Bacterial small subunit ribosomal RNA", at positions 28 to 507 of the family's 1533-position model. The record is from RNAcentral.